UACGAAGGGGGCAAGCGUUGUUCGGAAUUACUGGGCGUAAAGGGCGCGUAGGCGGCUUAUCAAGUCAGGCGUGAAAUUCCCGGGCUCAACCUGGGGGCUGCGCUUGAUACUGAUUGGCUUGAAUGCGGGAGAGGAUAGUGGAAUUCCCAGUGUAGAGGUGAAGUUCGUAGAUAUUGGGAAGAACACCGGUGGCGAAGGCGGCUAUCUGGCCCGUAAUUGACGCUGAGGCGCGAAAGCGUGGGGAGCAAACAGG
Molecule: ribosomal RNA, 253 nt
Filed under: uncultured bacterium
Lineage: Bacteria
Description: partial 16S ribosomal RNA
Rfam family: Bacterial small subunit ribosomal RNA
Source: RNAcentral